UUGAAGUGAGGACUCAAGAACGCAGU
Molecule: non-coding RNA, 26 nt
Filed under: Homo sapiens (human)
Lineage: Eukaryota; Metazoa; Chordata; Mammalia; Primates; Hominidae
Source: RNAcentral